This 1486-nucleotide long non-coding RNA is filed under the name Lepisosteus oculatus (spotted gar). RNAcentral describes it as "lncRNA (ENSLOCG00000021902.1)". The record is from RNAcentral. Lineage: Eukaryota; Metazoa; Chordata; Actinopteri; Semionotiformes; Lepisosteidae.
GCCUGUCACUAGUUGUGCAAUGAAGUGCCAAAUGAAUGAUAUCAGCAAAGAUUAAAUAUCUCCAGGAUGUCUCCUCUGCCAGCACUGUACCAGCUUUAGAAAAACAUGCUUGCAUUAGCACACAGAAUAGAGCACAUCACCAGAUAAGCUCAUUUUUGAAAUGCCACAGUAAUCUCUUCCUUUUCACAGUUUUUCAUCCGUAAUCACGUCGGUGUGUACUGGCUCAGGCUGGCUGCCCCCAGGGGCUUCAGUGGGGAGGGUAUUAAAUGGGCAUUUUGUGAGUGGCAUUCCUGAUGCCAGGGCAGUCCUGCAGCCAAACAGCUAUCAGCCAUGGCCUCUGUGAAGAAGUCUCUCGAAGGACUCAAAGGGACAACGCAGGCAGCUGCUAAGGGAGUCACCGAUUCUGCUGUCCAAGCAGCACAAGAGGCUGUGCAGCAGGUGGCAGAGUCAUCCAAAGAAACAACAAAAAUGGCUGCAGAUGAGGCCUCCAAGCAGACUCAGAGUGCCAUAGGCACAGCUGCAGGCAAAGCAACAGAUGCCAUCAAGGAAUUUGGACAACAACUUGGUCCAAAAUGAGGAGAGACAAAUUCCCUAUGAUCUCAUGUAAAUGCCGCAGUCUUGACAGACUGAAAUGGACUUGGUAUUAGAAAAAAUAUAUAAAAUUAUUUUAUAUUUUUGCUAAGUAAUAAGCAAACAAGCUGAAGAAGUAAGACUUUGUAAUACUGACAUGGGACUAAUUCCACUGCAGAAGUAAAAUUGAGAUUAUGCAUUUAGAUAACACUUACACUUUGUCCUUGACAAAUCUGUUUUCUUUUUAUGCAGUACGUAACCAUAAUUAGGGGAUGGAAAUGCAAGGGGAAAAAAAUUCGUUUUCACAAUUCUAGUACAUUUCUUGAUGAAAAUCCAAACAGGCCUGCAAUCCUAAAAUGAGAAAGGUUACUUUACCUUCUGUAAUUUCUAGAAGCAGUCUAUCACCCAACAAAAAAGCUGUGACAGUUAAUUUGAGCUUUUUUGUAUUUUUUCACACAUUUUUAUGUUUGCUUGAUCUCCCCAGCCUGUGAUUUUUCAUUUUCACCUUACCUCAUUCUUUAGAGAUAAGGCACUGCUGUGAUAAGCUAGUGUCUUUAGGAAGACAAACCAAAUAUACCAAUGUAGACAUACAGUAUAGUGCUGUCCUUGGGAUCUUUUCAUAAAAGCAAGCAAUCUUACACAUUUUAUUUAUUUUGGAAAUGUUGCUUUAGUCUAUAUACUGUAUGUACCUGAAGAAAUUCGAAUGCUGAGAUGUCUUUUUGAAAAAGGAACAGUCAAACACAAAGAAUCUGUAUUCAAAAAUGUCUCAAUAAAGACUAACAGUUUUUGUACUUGUAGUUUCACAGUAAACAAUUUAAAAACCUUGGUUGGUGAUACAUUUAUGAAAUUAUUGUAACUACUAGGAUUGAAUGGCCUUUAAGCUCGAAGAAUAAAAUGUUCCAAGAAACAGUAAUGG